This 73-nucleotide ribosomal RNA is filed under the name Bacillus cereus. RNAcentral describes it as "partial 16S ribosomal RNA". It matches the Rfam family "Bacterial small subunit ribosomal RNA", at positions 1 to 71 of the family's 1533-position model. The record is from RNAcentral. RNAcentral also lists the same sequence under 9 other names. Lineage: Bacteria; Bacillati; Bacillota; Bacilli; Caryophanales; Bacillaceae.
CUUUAUUGGAGAGUUUGAUCCUGGCUCAGGAUGAACGCUGGCGGCGUGCCUAAUACAUGCAAGUCGAGCGAAU